GCCUAACACAUGCAAGUCGAACGAAGGCUUCGGCCUUAGUGGCGCACGGGUGCGUAACGCGUGGGAAUCUGCCCUCAGGUUCGGAAUAACAGCGAGAAAUUGCUGCUAAUACCGGAUGAUAUCGCGAGAUCAAAGAUUUAUCGCCUGAGGAUGAGCCCGCGUAGGAUUAGCUAGUUGGUGUGGUAAAGGCGCACCAAGGCGACGAUCCUUAGCUGGUCUGAGAGGAUGAUCAGCCACACUGGGACUGAGACACGGCCCAGACUCCUACGGGAGGCAGCAGUGGGGAAUAUUGGACAAUGGGCGAAAGCCUGAUCCAGCAAUGCCGCGUGAGUGAUGAAGGCCUUAGGGUUGUAAAGCUCUUUUACCCGGGAUGAUAAUGACAGUACCGGGAGAAUAAGCUCCGGCUAACUCCGUGCCAGCAGCCGCGGUAAUACGGAGGGAGCUAGCGUUAUUCGGAAUUACUGGGCGUAAAGCGCACGUAGGCGGCUUUGUAAGUUAGAGGUGAAAGCCUGGAGCUCAACUCCAGAAUUGCCUUUAAGACUGCAUCGCUUGAAUCCAGGAGAGGUGAGUGGAAUUCCGAGUGUAGAGGUGAAAUUCGUAGAUAUUCGGAAGAACACCAGUGGCGAAGGCGGCUCACUGGACUGGUAUUGACGCUGAGGUGCGAAAGCGUGGGG
RNAcentral lists this ribosomal RNA (674 nucleotides) under uncultured bacterium. RNAcentral's name for it is "bacterial SSU rRNA". It matches the Rfam family "Bacterial small subunit ribosomal RNA", at positions 46 to 766 of the family's 1533-position model. The record is from RNAcentral.